CUUCAGUUAUUUUAUUUUCUUUCCCCUCUCUGCUCUCAAAUCCUAGUGAGAGAAGAAAAAGCUUUCUCUCUCUUCACUCUUCUUCUGUUACUCUCUUUCACUCUCCCAUUUCUCACCACAACAACCUCAACUAAUCACUAUUCCCCUUUCUCUUCUCUACAAGUCUCAAUCAUGGUGAGGAAGAGAAGAACUGAAGGACCCAGUGGGGGUGAAAGCUCUGAGCACACUGCUGAAAGGAGUGCCCCACCCCCUCAACAAUAUGCCCCUCCCGUUGGAAUGACAGGAGCACCCCAGGGUGGACGUGGUGGUGGUGGGCGUGGUUGUGGUAUGCCCCAGCAACAUGGUGCCCCCCCUGACUAUCAACAAGCCCGAGGAAGGGGAGGGCCACCUCAACAAGGAGGCCGUGGUGGACGAUAUGGUGGUGGUGAGUAUGGUGGCCGUGGUGGAGGUGGUGGUGAGUAUGGUGGCCGCGGUGGCCGUGGUGGUGAGUAUGGUGGUCGCG
Molecule: long non-coding RNA, 502 nt
Filed under: Lupinus mutabilis
Lineage: Eukaryota; Viridiplantae; Streptophyta; Magnoliopsida; Fabales; Fabaceae
Description: partial ncRNA
Source: RNAcentral